ACAAUGGGCGCAAGCCUGAUGCAGCCAUGCCGCGUGUAUGAAGAAGGCCUUCGGGUUGUAAAGUACUUUCAGCGGGGAGGAAGGCGAUAAGGUUAAUAACCUUGUCGAUUGACGUUACCCGCAGAAGAAGCACCGGCUAACUCC
This 144-nucleotide ribosomal RNA is filed under the name Enterobacteriaceae bacterium. RNAcentral's name for it is "partial 16S ribosomal RNA". It matches the Rfam family "Bacterial small subunit ribosomal RNA", at positions 368 to 504 of the family's 1533-position model. Lineage: Bacteria; Pseudomonadati; Pseudomonadota; Gammaproteobacteria; Enterobacterales; Enterobacteriaceae. The record is from RNAcentral.